UGUGCACUUUUCUCUUAGUAAGACGUCGUGAUCCAUUAGAAAUUGAUAUACGCCAAGUAUAUAGUGGGUCAUCAAUAGGCCAAUGUGAAGUUUAUUGGAACAAAUGGCAUGGCCUUUUACGGUUGUGUGUAUUGUCUGGUAAGCGCAUUGUGUUUUCCUGUAAUGACUGUCUGAUGGAUUUUAAGGACCGUUAUCAAUGAUGUUAAGGCAUCAGCGCAAUGCGCAAUUCGAUACGCGUGUCCGAUCAACGGCGGUUAAAUUUGGGAUACCUUUUGGACCCGUCUUGAAACACGGACCAAGGAGUCUAUCUAGUAUGCGAGUAAAUGGAUAAUUUAUGAAAUCUAUUUGCGUAAUAAACUUGACUGUUAUGGGAUUACGAUUAAUGGCAAUUUUUUGUCAUUUUUCUUCCAUCCCGGGGUAUUUUCAUCCACAUAUAAGCAAUUGUAUGGAAAAUAUACCAUGAGCACACUGGAUACGACCCGAAAGAUGGUGAACUAUGCCUGAUCAGGUCGAAGUCAGGGGAAACCCUGAUGGAGGACCGAAGCAGUUCUGACGUGCAAAUCG
RNAcentral lists this ribosomal RNA (564 nucleotides) under Polypedilum sp. NZ_R1. Its description in RNAcentral is "partial large subunit ribosomal RNA". It matches the Rfam family "Eukaryotic large subunit ribosomal RNA", at positions 451 to 900 of the family's 3401-position model. The record is from RNAcentral. Lineage: Eukaryota; Metazoa; Arthropoda; Insecta; Diptera; Chironomidae.